Small nucleolar RNA from Salvia miltiorrhiza (redroot sage), 107 nucleotides. Lineage: Eukaryota; Viridiplantae; Streptophyta; Magnoliopsida; Lamiales; Lamiaceae. The record is from RefSeq and is a predicted model, not a curated record.
AGAUGAUGAUGUGGACAUUGUCGCUGAAGACUCUGAAAUCGAUCCCAUGCCUCAUGAAAAGUCUCACCAGAAUUUUGAGCAAAUGUGACAAUUUGUGCUCUCAAAUC